CUAAAGCCGAAUGAGUUCUAUUUCGGCACCACCGUCCUUCGAAUUUCAUUCACCGUUUAGCAGCCUUAUCCACCCCUUGCACCGCUUCAGCACGCUGCCAAGAGUCCUGAUCAGACCCCAACUCUUCCCGAUGCAUACAGCAAAAACCAAAGCCUUCCGUGCGCGAGGUGAGGUUCGAACCCCAGACCUCUGUCCGCCUUUGCCCGUGCUGCUGGCCACUAUACC
Molecule: long non-coding RNA, 225 nt
Filed under: Gossypium barbadense (sea-island cotton)
Lineage: Eukaryota; Viridiplantae; Streptophyta; Magnoliopsida; Malvales; Malvaceae
Description: long non-coding RNA (GBAR_LNC000239)
Source: RNAcentral